GUCAAAUCAUCAUGCCCCUUAUGUCCUGGGCUACACACGUACUACAAUGGCGAUUUAACAACGGGUGGCCAAACCGCGAGGUGGAGCUAAUCCCCAAAAAUCGUCCCAGUUCGGAUUGUAGGCUGAAACUCGCCUGCAUGAAGUUGGAAUUGCUAGUAAUCGCGAAUCAGAAUGUCGCGGUGAAUACGUUCCCGGGUCUU
RNAcentral lists this ribosomal RNA (200 nucleotides) under uncultured prokaryote. RNAcentral's name for it is "partial 16S ribosomal RNA". It matches the Rfam family "Bacterial small subunit ribosomal RNA", at positions 1184 to 1382 of the family's 1533-position model. The record is from RNAcentral.